RNAcentral lists this ribosomal RNA (435 nucleotides) under uncultured bacterium. Its description in RNAcentral is "partial 16S ribosomal RNA". It matches the Rfam family "Bacterial small subunit ribosomal RNA", at positions 29 to 507 of the family's 1533-position model. The record is from RNAcentral.
AGCGAACGCUGGCGGCAGGCUUAACACAUGCAAGUCGAGCGGGCACUUUCGGGUGUCAGCGGCGGACGGGUGAGUAACGCGUGGGAACGUGCCCUCUGGUUCGGGAUAACUCAGGGAAACUUGAGCUAAUACCGGAUACGCCCUUUUGGGGAAAGGCUUGCUGCCGGAGGAUCGGCCCGCGUCUGAUUAGCUAGUUGGUGAGGUAACGGCUCACCAAGGCGACGAUCAGUAGCUGGUCUGAGAGGAUGAUCAGCCACACUGGGACUGAGACACGGCCCAGACUCCUACGGGAGGCAGCAGUGGGGAAUAUUGGACAAUGGGCGCAAGCCUGAUCCAGCCAUGCCGCGUGAGUGAUCAAGGCCUUAGGGUUGUAAAGCUCUUUUAUCCGGGACGAUAAUGACGGUACCGGAGGAAUAAGCCCCGGCUAACUUCGUG